This is a long non-coding RNA of Zeugodacus cucurbitae (melon fly), 8253 nucleotides long. RefSeq lists it as uncharacterized. NCBI's taxonomy places the organism in Eukaryota, Metazoa, Arthropoda, Insecta, Diptera, Tephritidae. The record is from RefSeq and is a predicted model, not a curated record. The transcript is spliced from 6 exons.
UAGCUGGCGUACAAUUUCGCCUCCCGCCAGUCCAGCUUCAAACUGAAUAUAUAAUAAAGGAAAUUUGUAUAUAGAAUAAGUAGCAACUGUAAAGUAAAUAAAUGUAUAGAACUCCAAUAAAAACAAGUGAGUUGUUAAAGGUACUCAUUCGAUCACCAUCAUAUCAGCAGUUGGGGACCUUUUUUUGGGCAAAAAAAAAGUUAAAAGAAAAAUCUCAAAAUAUAGCUGAAAUUAUACCUUAUUAUGUCCAAAAAUUUCGAAAUAUUCGAUCGAGUAAUUUCUUAAAAAAAAUUCACGAAAACCUCCUAAUUCUUUAUGGGUUAUACUGUACCCCCUAACAAGCAAGCGGUCAUUAGUGCGCCCGACGAUUUUGGUAUCGAAGCAAAUCUUAAGCAUCUUAUAUCUUAUACUAGUCUGCUCAGCAUGAACCGCAUAGAACUGUAGGGUAGCGCACAUGUGCUCCGGACUGUAAAUAGUGAUACCGCGCAAGUUGGUGUUCUCUUCCCUUUGCUCUGGAUGGGGUGGUGGAACUUGAAAAUCAAGGCUGUGGAGUUUCGGCCUAUGCUGACAAUGUAGCCCUUAGAGUUAUUUGACUUUACAGACGGUAAAUAUUAUUACAUACAUAAGUCAAUUAGUUUGUAAUGUAGCCCUUAGAGUUAUUUGACUUUACAGACGGUAAAUAUUAUUACAUACAUAAGUCAAUUAGUUUGACCCAAAAAGCUGCUUAACGUAACUAAAACUGUUGCGAAUCUUGCCACUUAAAUGAACUUGUCAUGUUAACAAUUUGUUAAUUAUUCAUAAAUGAAAAUACAGCUCAACUUCUAUAACUCGAACUCUUAAAUUGGCAAUGGAAGUCAAAUUUCAUAAAAUUAAUUCAAAGUCUCUCUAAUUUGAAGGGUACUUCAACUGUAUAAAUAUACGAAUGACGGUAUUGGCCGACAAAACACAAAUAACACAUAUAUUACUACUAACCAGUUUACCCACAAUAACUCCCAAAAACUGAGAUGAUGGAACUGUGUCCAGACGUUUUGUGAUUUCCAUGAUUUUUUGUACCAAUACUGCGCUUCAUCCAAAUUACCCUUCAUGAAUUCUAGUCGUCCCUUAAAAAAAAGAAACCACACACCCUGCGGAUAUAAAAGUAAUUGUUCCUCAAGGAUGUUAUGGCACAGUUCUAGAUCACCUCCUUGAUGACUUAACACAUAACAUACUAUAAGGUGAUAGCCAAGCAAGGUCAUUGCACAAAGCACUUGACGUAAACCGGAUAACCGAUAGCCGGUGUUGAGAUCAGCUAGACCCGCAGUCUAAAAUAAAAUAAGCCAAUUGAUGAGUAAUUGUUAUUUGAUUGAUGAUAUACUACUUUCUACCUUAUUUCCAGAGAAUCCUAUGAACUGCAAGACUUUUAUAACACCUGAAGGUAGUAGAGAGAUCAUUAAAUUAAAUGCACCAACACCCAUGCGCACACCGCUCUCGAAAUGCACCUUGGAUACAUUCGACUCCCAUUGUCUUCGUGUAAGUAUUUGAGCGCACUCUCUUAAAAGGGGAUUAGUAAACUUAAUGCGGUAGCAGAUAAUAUAAAUAUGUAUAUCGAAACGUACUUGUAGCUAUUGUAACAAUGUCGUAUCUUCAUACCGCCGCGUAUCAAACUCGUCAAAGUCUCGUCCUCAAUGAAUGUGAGUAGUGCACGUAGGAGUAACGCCUCCGCAUAACACAAUUCAGCGUGUGCUUCCAAAUCGGAGAUUUGGGUGUAGUUCGUCUGCAGAGAAUGUUAACAUGCAUUACUUUUGUUUUGAUAAUUUUGUUGGCAGUAGAUUCUUAAUUAUUCUUCUCAGCUAUUCGCGAUACUGCCGUACAUAUUUAGAUAUAUUAAAAGGAAUUAUAACUUACAUACCCGCUUGAAUUUCUUCCCGAUGGACUGUGUAAUCGUGUUUUUGCGCUUGUAACGUUGGCAUACAUUUAAGCAUUUCUUCAACUCAUCCCCGGCUUCGGCAAUGUGUCGCUGCUCAAAUGUUAAUAUCGCUUCGAGGAAUAUAAAGACAGCGUGGCCCAUUGAGUGGUACAUGCUGCUAUGCGCGUAUGGUUGCAUCAGUGAACGUGCUUCAUCGAAUUUGUUGUUGAAGAAAUAGCAAAUGGCCAAUUUGGCUUCCUCCAGCGCAUUUUCUAAAUCCAUUUCAAAUUCUCUAUAUAACGUGUAUGCAAAUUUACAAAUAACUUCAAACGAUGUCUUAUUUAGUGCAUACAUACUAUAAUAUAAUACACAUAUAUAUAUGAUAAAACUUCUUGAAUCUUACCACGAACAACUUUUUCCUAGAUCUAUUAGGAUUACGAGUAAACAACGACUUGUAUUUUCUCUGAUUAUUUUAUAUGAUUUUAUGUUAUUGAUUACUGAAAGUACAAGUUACAAACCGCUUCCAAACGUACUUUAGUUAUAAAGAGAUAAUUCCAAAAAUUAUGAGUGAUACUUUUAUAUGAACUAACGUAAAUCCACAUAAUUAAUCGAGCAACUACCGCGUUCUUUUCUAGUACACUAGAAAUAUUAGUUGUUGUAGAAAUUAAUGAGUUAAGGUCGUUCUUCUAAAUUUGACAUAUUUAGGCUAAUUGGUUAUAGAGUAAUUAUGCUCAAUCGACUGCCUCUAAUGUGCAUUGAAAAGUGUGGCUUCGGUCUUGGCUGACUGAAUUUCACCCAACAAAAUUAAUAUUGCACAUUUCAACUUCGUUAUGGAUUUUUGAUUGUAUUGUCGAUUAUCUUUCGCUUUACAUGAGCUCUUAUGACUCGCUACACCUUCCACUAUCAGUGCUUUCAGCAAAACCACCCUCGCAGUCAGAUUUCUACCUAAAAAAACUUGUAUUCUCAUAUUCAUACAUACAAACAGGCUUCCUUUAGAUACUACAAUUAUAUACACACAAACAAAUAAUUAUUAAUAGAACCUGGGAAAGUGUAAUCGUACUUAAAGUCUUCUGGUUCACUGAUGGCAUCGAAGAACUGUGAAUAAGAUUUCGUAAAAUAAAAAAAUGUAGUUUUAAAAGACUGCGUUAUCAGUAGAGGAUAUGUGAUAAACGAUGCACUCACGCAAUUGUGAAAGGAUGGAUGAUUGUGUAAAAAUUUACAUACUAUAAAUAAUGCUUCUGUCAGAAGCAGAUUCAUCAAGACUUAUCUCCACUUUAAUAUUUAAUCCCACUUUCAUAAAACAACCUUGAUUGUAUUGUUACGUUUAAAAUGUUACAGCUGAUUAAUUUUUGUAAAAUUUUCACAUUUUUUGGUUUGAAGUUUCAACUAAAAUUUGCAAAAGAACCUCCAAAACGAAUUCCCGCAGCUUAUAUCAAGCCACUAUCAAUAUGUGUGGCCUGUCCUUGUCCUGAUGAAACAUACACUUCUCCUAUUGGCAGACCACUUCCGGGCAAUUUCUUCUCUGACACGAUCCCAUUGUUGACAGUAAAGGCUCGAAUUAAGUUUGGUCGCAGGGGUAGCUCAAAAUAAAUUAUUUUUUGCCAAAUCCACCAAGCCAUAUAUUUUAUAAUUUAAUUUGAAACUUGGUUGAAGCGCUUUAAAGCUUCACACUUACCAGGUUUCAUCAAUAUAUCUGAAGAUUUACUCAAGUUAUCUCUUGCACGGAUGUAUAUACAGAUAUUCAGAUUUCAACUUGUCUCUUCAUUUCAAGACAAAAGAAAUAAUAUAAAAUAAGAACCAUGUGUCAAGACCAUAUUCAUAGAUUUGAGAUCUUUUUCGACACUUGGGUAAAGUUGUCCCAAAAACAAGACAAGAAUUAGAAAAGUAGUUUAAGAGUCUUAACAAAUCACUUUAAUGAGGUGAAUGAAUGUGCGUAAUGUAUUUGAGUGGAAGGAAACAGAACAUCAUUUGAAACCUUCGUAAUGUCUAUAAUUAUUGUAGUCAACAUAUAUACAUACCUCACCCUCCUCCUCAUCUUCCAAAUUUGCGUGCACUGCAUUCGCUCCACUUGUAUUUGCACUGUUGUGUCCUAGCGAACUUUGGGGAAAAUUGGUGUCAGACCUCAAUUGCGCCAUUUGUGUAUCUUUCUUUGGCAGCAUUUCAAAUCUAAAAGGAAGAUUAAAAAUAACUAUGUGCAUUUUUUUUAGUAUUACGGGAAAUUAAUAUUUCCAAUUAUCCGAUUUAAAAAAAGCCUUUUUCAAAUGAAAUAACUUUUCAAUAAAAAACCCAGAGUCGCGAUAUAAUACCGAAGUGCGGUACUUACAGCUGCAGUAACCUCCAGCUAUAAAUUACUGCCUCACACCCAGGGUCAUGACAGCCGCCCGGAAACAAACCGUUUCUAACCAUUUAACUGCAACGGACUUCAAAGAAUGGUCGGAGAUAUAGUCGAUUUUAUGAGCCAGCGUUAGUCUGAUAAACAAUCUAGCGACCUUAGCAUCUAUAUGCUAAAAAUUAACAAGCUUGAGAAACCUCCGAACUGUUCCACUAUUUCUGUGGAAAACCGCUUAAGACCGCUUACGAGAAAUUCGCACAUAAAUAUCGGAUUAUAGCGGUUAUUUUUUCGAAGCGCGGCCGAAGGCAGCCAAUGCAGAAAGUAGCUCUACGCGAAAGAACUUUCCAUUUCCACCUCUUUGUUGUUGUAACGAUUAUCUAUCCCUGCCGGAACGGAAAGCAGGACGGGAGGCCCAGGAAACAUGCUGUUUCGAUGGGGUCGGACCAAAGGGAGAGGGGUGUUAGAUGAGUGGAGUUUGUUGGGCAUGCAAAAAAGGUGGUUAGUGUCAUGCGGAACAUGUAUUUUGUAUGUCGGGGUUCAGUCUGGAUAAGUAGGAGUUUAACCUGCUACAAUAUCCAAAAGUUGCACAAGGGUCACUCUGGUUUCACGCGGCAACUCGAGCUCUUCGUAUGCUAAAGGUGGUGGCUUGCUUCAAAGGACGCCAUUCACUGGAAGGGACUCAAGGAAGGUGUUAAUAGCUCCACUGUGAAUGGCGUUUAGGGCGUGUCUGAAACUGUUUGCGCCCACAGUCUGGUCGGUGUAUUGUUCAAGAUCGUCGACGUAUUGUAGUAGUGACCUCUUAAUGCACCUGGGGGCGGUUCUGCUUCCAGAAACUCACUACAUGAAUACACUAGUAGAAACUGGUUGGUAAGCAGUUCCUUAAUAGGCAGUAUAGUGGCCUCAUUGUGCAAAUGUGCUUCUGGUGACAUCAAGAGGCAUCCUGGAGCUGUCCGGAGUGCGGUGUUCUGACACGUCUGUAUCUUCCUCUACUGCGUGCCGCUGCAUCCAGGCGACCAUACCGGUGCCGCGUAAGUUACGACCGGCCGGCCGAUAGCCUUAUAAGUGGCCAGCAGCGUUUCUUUGUCCUUUCCUCAAGUGUUGAUUGCUCAAUAUCUUCUAGCAGCAUUGUUAAGUUCACCGUGUCAAAAGCUUUUGACAGAUCCAACGCCACUAGGACGGUUCUCUUACAGUGUGGUUUUUGAUUAAGGCCAUGAACUAUCUGGGCGUCUAUGACGCUAAGUGUUGUGGUAAUGCUGUGCACUUUACGGAAACCAUGUUGAUGUUUCGCUAGGUUCAGUUGGUACGUGAGUAUACUGUAAUGUCUUCACUACUGGGUAAAGGAGAGUUAUCGGGCGAUAAGACUCCCCUUGGUUGACGGUUUUCCCAGGUUUCAGUAAUGAAACCACUUUUCCGAUCAUCCACAUAUCGGGUAUUUUAAGAGUGGUUAGCGACAAAUUGAGUACCUUGGCGAGAUAUUCAACUCCCGUUGAACCUAGAUGUUUUAACAUCAAAGAAUUGAUUCCGUCUGGGUCGAUGGCUUUGGAGAACUUAGCUUUCCUAAUGACAUCCUGCACCUCUCCACUGGUGAAAACAAGUGGCACGCAGUUGUUUUGCAUUUUGCGCAGCCGUCUGGUGACACGCCUUUUAGCCCUGUCAACCGGGGGGUGCAGUAUAAAUUGUCGGCUAAAAUAGCUCGCGCACCUCUCCCGGUCCGAGGAGGCAUGGCUACCGAAUUGAAUUUCAACGCUGUUAACACAUCACUUCAACUGCUGUUAACACAUCACUUCAACGCUCGAUAUCUCGUAAACAGUGCGAGAUAUCAUUUUUUAUUUAAUAAAAAGUGUUUGUUUGGAUUAAUUAACAUAAAAAUGGUUUCAAAUCUUAGUGACUUAGUAACUAAAAUCGUGGCCCAACAUCUCUGCAUGCUAAACGAACCCGAUUCCUCUAAAACCCCCCUCCCUAUGGUUCGAGCCUGUCAGUUCCAAACAAAACGUGGCACAAUUCCGAUUUCUUUAGCGCCGUGACCUGAAGGUACCGUUGGGGAGAGGAAGUCUUCCUUAUUAAAAAAAGGGUUGCAAGAUGACAGAACAUAAGUGUUGCCACAUGCAAUCGAAUAAAAAUAAUCAAAAUGAAUAAAAUCCCCAAAAUGAAGAAAACAAAUAUCCUAUAAAUAGUACUUAAGUAAAGACCCAACACCGGGGAUUAUCAAAGAGGUGGAAUAACAAGUUCUUCCGCGUAGAACUACUUUCUGCACCGGGGAUUAUCAAAGUGGUGGAAUAACAACUUCUUCCGCGAGGAACUACUUUGCUUAUUGUAUUUGGGAUAUAAUCUUUCUUUUUCAUUAUUGAUUCUUAUAAUUCGUUUACAAAAUAUGUGAUAUGGUAACACUUUACACAAAUCUCUUAAUUUUCACAAUAACAAAAAGGGUUGCAGCUUGACAAGUAAUAAGUGUUGCCAUAUCAGAUAUUUUGCAAACGAAUGAGAAGAACCAAAAUAAAUAAAUACCCCAAAUGCAGAAAACAAAUGCCCUAUAAAAAGAUUACAUAAAGAUAAUAUAAAGAGUGUUUAUGAUAUUCACUCUAUGUACUAUAAGUAGGAGAAAUGAAAAGUUCUUUCGCAAAGAACUACUUUCUGCAUUGGCGGCCUUCGGCUGCGCUUUAAAAAAAUAACCCUGGUCGGGCCAUCACCGGGGGGGGUUAUCAAAGAAAAGAUAUUUGCAAACUUCGGAGAAAGCUUAAGCUGGAUACCACCCAUAUACUCCCAUAUAGGAAGGUAGCUAUACUUGGUAUGGGUGCGGGGAAAACUACCAGCAGUUCUUCAAGGCUUACAACGGCAAUCGUUCAUCAAUCGUACAUUACAAAUUCGACGUAUGAUGGAAGACGCACUCGUAGUCCUUUGUGUCAGGAAGUAACAAAUAUCAUGCACCUAGAAAUACAACACAAAAUAUGCUACAACAACAGAGUUGGUAUUAAUGUUUCCCAUGUUUAUAAUAUUGGUGGAUAAUCGCCAAAUGGUGUAGCAGCAACAACAAUUUAUACAUAUUCAAAUUCACAAUAAAAGUAAAAUCGCACAACGCAACAGGCAAAUAACAAGGCAUCGGAUGAUGUACUACAAAUUACAUCGGACUUUUGGAGUAGCACUUUUAACACUUAUUUUCGACGUGCUAAACACAGUGUCUCCUAUGAUGCCCUUGGAUUUACACCAUGGAUAACACGUGUCAACACAAAAUUUGACCAUAACUUUAAAGCAGUAAAUUUCCAUUGUUUAGGUCUUAAUUAGACGAAAAAAAUAUAUACCAUGAAAAGGUUUGCUUUUUUCUUUAGGACACCGUUUUAACGAUAUUUUUUAAAGUAUGUGGUUUUAAUUUUCAAUUGAAAAUGAAAUCACUUAAAAAAACAUUUUAAUUAAGUUUUACUAUCAAAAUAACUUACAAAAAAAGCAAAAAGUGACUUAAAAGUGAACACAUUUAUUUUUUUUAUGUUCAUAGGUAAUAUCUCUUAAUAAACCCCAAAUAUAGUAUCCCAUCAUGUUUUCAUUGUAUUGGCCUUGAUAACGUUGAUCGAAGCUCAUAAUUUUCUUUAAGAUAUACUGAGUGAGCGAUUGGAAGAGAUGGAAAUUUAUUUCCAUUAUGUAAAUAAACAGUAGAACUAUCGAUGAAUAAACGCCACUCGCUAGAAACACAAAGUAUGCCAAUUUCUUUGAACAAACCUUUUAUGUCGUUGCUAAAACAAAGUCCAUCUUCUUUUGUGAAAAAUGUUGAGAAUGUUUCAUGCCUAGUCCUCUGAUCCGUAAUAUUAACAUCAUCAAGCAAAUUCCACUGUUUUAAGCGAGAGUCUAAAAGCUCUGCUUUACUUUUUGGCAAAUUUAAAUCUCUAAUCAAAUCAUUAAAAUCUUCUGUCCAUCUUCUUUUGUGAAAAAUGUUGAAAAUGUUUCAUGCCUAGUCCUCUGAUCCGUAAUAUUAACAUCAUCAAGCAAAUUCCACUGUUUUAAGCGAGAGUCUAAAAGCUCUGCUUUACUUUUUGGCAAAUUUAAAUCU